UGGCUCAGAACGAACGCUGGCGGCAUGCUUUACACAUGCAAGUCGAACGGUAACAGGCCUUCGGGCGCUGACGAGUGGCGAACGGGUGAGUAAUGCAUCGGAACGUGCCCAGUCGUGGGGGAUAACGCAGCGAAAGCUGUGCUAAUACCGCAUACGAUCUGCGGAUGAAAGCGGGGGACCUUCGGGCCUCGCGCGAUUGGAGCGGCCGAUGUCAGAUUAGGUAGUUGGUGGGGUAAAGGCCUACCAGGCAGACGAUCUGUAGCUGGUCUGAGAGGACGACCAGCCACACU
RNAcentral lists this ribosomal RNA (290 nucleotides) under uncultured bacterium. RNAcentral describes it as "partial 16S ribosomal RNA". It matches the Rfam family "Bacterial small subunit ribosomal RNA", at positions 20 to 314 of the family's 1533-position model. The record is from RNAcentral.